AUUUUCAACCCACAGUGCCAAACCAAACAAAACUUUAUCAAAUAGGAGGAUAAGAUAAAGAUAUUUUCAGGCAUGCAAAAAUGCCUUUAUUUCUCAAACAUCCUUUCUGAAGCAGCUACUGAAGAAUUUCUUUUUAUGAAAGAAAGAAACAACAACAACAAAGGCAGACAUGAGACCAAGAAAUACAGCCCAUCAUCCGGAUGGCAGCCACAGAAAGUAAAGCUCAAUCCACAGUUCAGAAAUUCUAAUUUGAAAAGAGAAAAAUACACACAAAGUAUACAAUGACUCAUCCAAAAAAGUAAAAAGCAGUCUUUUGACAAAGUUGGAGAAAUAAAAUCAAUUUACCUACUUCUAACACUAUAUUUCCUCCACUAUCACCUCUUUCUUGUUCCAACUCUUCUUGAAGGCAACACUACAUUGAACUGUAGAAGAUGCAAGAUGUUUCUUCAAAUAUGAAAAAAUCUUGGUAUUUCCGAACCAGGAAAUACUGAUAGCUCAUUGUUCUCUCAAGUUAUUUGAGCCUUUUUCAUUUAUCUUCCGUAUAUUUUUCUGGUCUCCAACAUCGCCAUGUGAGACCAGGGAUCACAAUUCAUCCUUCCUUGUAACUCAAAAAGUUCUCGACAUAUGAUAAGUGCUCAACAGCUGUGUAACCUACAUGAUAUUGACUGUGUCGCAAUUAAAGCAUAAUUCACCAGAGUUGCCCCUUCAAGUGUGAAGAUUCUUAAUGGAGCUACAUAAGAAGCUAACAAAGACCUGUCCAACAGGAGUAAACUAAUCAAGUGCAGCCCCCGAAUUCUGAAGAACACUAGAAGAAAACAGACUUUCCCUAAAUAUCACGUGAUAGAGGCUCAUUACGUAAAGACUAUACUUUGAGCAAAUACUAGACAAAGACUAUGAAAUGUCUGCAAUUCUGAUUAGGGUCCUAGAACAAGAAGUCAACAAUCCAGAACAGAUGGCAUGAGAAAUACUAAAGAAACUACUCCAGGCCCUAAUGCGUUGGUCUUACCUGGCUGUCCGCAGGACUUGGGGGCAGUGGACGCCGAGGGCGUAACGCCAACUAAGCAGCAUGCCACAGAAUCAUGUUUUCCUGAGAUUUGUGGUUUUCUGGAAUCGAAAGGAAACACUCACAAGAAAGAGGUGGUCUGAAAUAAGAACUAAGAGGACAAAGGGCACAUUCAAGAAAAGAAUCCCUUAAAAACUGCUCCGCAUUUGGAUAUGUUUUCAUUCACCAACUUGUGCAAUAGAAUCUUUAAGAGGCCAGAAACAGAAGCACCUCAGUUCUUUCACAGAAGACCAAUAAGGUCCUGCAUCCCUUUGCAUCUUCCUCUCCCUUGCUUAAGCCACCCUAAUAAAGAAGUGAAUUUCCUCUC
Molecule: long non-coding RNA, 1370 nt
Filed under: Equus asinus (donkey)
Lineage: Eukaryota; Metazoa; Chordata; Mammalia; Perissodactyla; Equidae
Description: lncRNA (ENSEASG00005034604.1)
Source: RNAcentral